AAAAAACAAAAAAAAAAAAGAAAGAAAAAGAAAAGGAAGGAUGGGAAGAGAGAGAAGGGGAGGGAAGGUUUGGAUAGGAGAGGAAAAAAAAGCUUCAGGCAAUUUAGUUAAAAUGUGGUGUCAAAGUUUUUAUUACAAUCUUGUGGCAGGGGAAUAGGCUUCUGUCCUACCUGGCCAAUUCAAAAGUACCUGCUGGUAAGGACAUUUCAUCAGAAAUGAGAAUGGUUAGAUAAUCAUUGUUAGACUGGAUAUAAGAAAAAAAAGUUCUGAUUAAGAAUUAUUAGCUUUAUUUUGCACAAGUACAAAAACCUAAGGGCAUCUUUGUCAUCAAUGUGUGAAUUGGAAUAAGGAAUAAAACCACAGUAAUGAGAGCACAGUCCCAUAGCAUUUGUUCUCUGAAGGAUUUCUCAAAGCACACUUGGGAAGAUAGCUCUCCAAACCAUGUACAAAGAUAUUUUUAGACUGUCUAUAUAUUUGUAAAUCUUGCCACAAUAUUAUUGUGCCAUAAACAACCAAAAUGAAAUCUGACCUUGUUUCAACAAUAGGAAUCUCCAAGAAUUUAGUAAAGGAAUAAAGAGAAUUUGUUGACUAUGUUGGAAAAAAAAAAAGAAUUAUUAGCUUUACUGAAAGAUGAUUUAAAGGCCAAUGGAUCCCUCCCAAAGGUGACAUGAGCUGAGUGCAUAGGUUAAAGGUUUCUCAGAAGAGGUCUUAAUCCCAUUAAAGUUCAUCAGAUAAUUGCUUAAGUAUUUCAUCAGAUAUAUAAGCCAUUCCCAAUAAGAGGUUUGUGGAUUAUAUUCCCAAAAUGUUCCUGACCCAGCCCAGAUGUGAUACAGUUUUUUAUUUUACAGUAUAAAGGCAUGUUUCGUGAAAACUUGUGUUUCAGUACAUAGGUGCUAUAUGUUGAUGUGAACUUAAUUUUUUCACUGCACCACUUUCAAAGAGGUUUGAAAAACACUAUACUGUUUUUUAGAGCUGAGAUCUGAUAAAGGCCUUGGAAAUUCCAGGGGUCUCUAAACCUGCCCUUGUCUGUAGAAAACCUCUUUAUCUUUGCAGACACCUAGGUGGGAGUGUCCUGGAUAUCUUCACAAACUUACUGUAAGUCUGUUAGACUCAGAGGGCCGAUCAGAGAUGUCCAUACUAGAGCAGGUCUGCUUUUUCCCUGAUGAUGAGAUUUAAUUGCAGAAGGGUCCCAAUGCUAAAAUAAAAUCUUUGAAAAUCAUCAAUUGAGUCUAAUCCCUUUGUUUUACUUUUUGAGGAAACUGAGGCCACUGAGGCCCAGAGUGAGAGUGCCUUGCCAGUCACUUGACAUUUGGCCCACCUGCAGUGGUACUGCCCUAAGCAGUCUACCCAAAUAGCAAAGAUUUCACCACUGGAAACUCACAUUUAGUUGUUCCCCUUUAAAGAUACCAGGAAAGAGAGCCUAAGUAAUUAAGUUACCUUUUAGUGUGUCUUCAUUAAUCAGAUUUCUUUACCAGAUCCAGGACCACUUCAUCCAUUAGGUGUGACAGGCUGUAACUCUAGGGGUUGUAAACUCUGUAAGGGCCUACAAAAAUGGCUGAAGCUUGAAAAACUCAUUUUUCAAGCUUUGAAAUACAAAAAGAAAACAACCAAAUUGAAAUUAAGGCGUUCCAAUGUGGACAAAUGGUAGUAUGCAUGAUAUGAUAUGGAUUAGGACCUCCCAAAAUAAGGAUGUCUGCCACCCAGGAUGUUUGGUUCCGCCAGGGUAACCAAGGUGAGACAAUAGGGUAAGGCCACUCUCCCAGAGUGAUGACGGAUACUUAACACAGCAUUUGGCCAUGGGUGCCUGACAAUAAGUUUCUUUUGUUUUCUUUUUACCCUCCAACAACCAGACAAGGCAUUUCUUCCCCUUGACUGGGAAACUAGACCUUGGCUAAGUGAGUUACCUCUCGGUCUCAGUGACCCCACUGUAAAAUGAGAUGCUUGGGCUGAUCUCUGGAUCUGUGAUUCCCAAAAUGAGGAAGGCAGACACUCCUGGUGCACAUGAUGAUUUUAGGCACAUGGCUGAUUCAUGAAGGUCCUGGACGAGCCCUAAGAAGCUGCCAGCUAGACCCAGACACUGGCCACUGGCCUCUGAGGUCUCCCUCCCCGCUGAACUCAGAUGGGACCCUUCCUUCCACCAGCAGUUCAUCAAGAGCCCCGUUCAUCCUUCCAGGUGGCCUUUUCUGGGCUGACAUCCUGAGCAAUGGCCAGGAGUCGCAAGGCAGUCCUUCAGUGACCCCCUCCAAUGAAGUGUUCCAGGGCCUCCACCCUCAGGACAAUUCUCCAGACAGACCUGCAUGUCCUGACAGCUGGGGAUGUGCGGUCACACAGAGCCACAGAGCAGGGUCCCCAAAAUCCAAAUGUGCAAACAGCAAGGGGACCCAGAGCAGUAACAGGAGCUUGGCCUGUCUUCCUACUCCAAAGAGACCCUUGCCUGAGUGGCAGAAAAGCUCACAUCAGAUGGAAAACCCACUUAGCCCCAGGUGGACAGGGGGCCACCAGCACUCCAUGGUCCAGCAGGGAUAGAGCGGGCCUGGCCCACCGCCCCACUUCCACUGGCAUUGAAGGUUCUUGGGCACUUGGAAGAUUUCAGAAGGACUUUAGAAAAGCAGCUGACCUCAAGGGGAGUCUGUGCAGAUGCACUUGGUGAAUCCUUGUAGUUGGCAAAUUGCUGAUCCAGGCUCUAGACCUGUUGUCGCUUAUCCCUGAGGAAGGAGGGCCUUGAGGGUCCGCGUCUCCACAGCCAUCUCUCAGGCCCUGUGAAUGAUCCCAGCACAUUAGAAAGGGACAUAGUCAAAAGCCAGACAUCAAGUUCUACCCUCUCAUUUUAUCUAACAUUUCAAAUGCUCAUCUCUUUUUAAAAUUAUUAUACAAUUAAUGCAUUCCCAUUCUAAAAUAUUUGGAAAAUGAAGAAACAACAAAAAAGAAAAUGAAAUCCUGUAAGCUCAUCAAAGAAAACUGCUAUUAUAUUUCCAUCUCAACUUUUUUUCUGUGGUCAUAUGUAUUUUUAUUAUCACAGAGAUGCAAUUUUGUGUUUGCUUUAUUCACUUUGAAUUAGAUGAUGAGUAUUUUCAACAUAAUGAAAUAUUCUUCAUAAGCACUUUUAAUAACUGCAUAAGACUGUUCUGACCUGGCACACUGUAAAUACUUUGACUCAAAUGCUGGGCAUUUAUGUUUUCAGUUUUUCGAGAGUAUAAAAACGCACUAAAAUAAACAUCUU
Molecule: non-coding RNA, 3220 nt
Organism: Manis javanica (Malayan pangolin)
Lineage: Eukaryota; Metazoa; Chordata; Mammalia; Pholidota; Manidae
Source: RefSeq, a predicted model, not a curated record